Molecule: ribosomal RNA, 552 nt
Filed under: uncultured eukaryote
Lineage: Eukaryota
Description: SSU rRNA
Rfam family: Eukaryotic small subunit ribosomal RNA
Source: RNAcentral
GUAGUCAUAUGCUUGUCUCAAAGAUUAAGCCAUGCAUGUCUAAGUAUAAGCAAUUAUACAGCGAAACUGCGAAUGGCUCAUUAUAUAAGUUAUCGUUUAUUUGAUAGUGCCUGUCCUACUGGGAUAACCGUGGUAAUUCUAGAGCUAAUACCUGCUGAAAGUCCCGACUUCGGAAGGGAUGUAUUUAUUAGAUUCAAAGCCAAUGCCCUUCGAGGCUUCUUGGUGAUUCAUGAUAACUUCACGGAUCGCACGGCCCUGCGCCGGCGAUGGUUCAUUCAAAUUUCUUCCCUGUCAACUUUCGAUGUUUGGGUCUUGGCCAAACAUGGUUGCAACGGGUAACGGAGGGUUAGGGCUCGACCCCGGAGAAGGAGCCUGAGAAACGGCUACUACAUCCAAGGAAGGCAUCAGGCGCGCAAAUUACCCAAUCCCGAUUCGGGGAGGUAGUGACAAUAAAUACUGAUACAGGGCUCUUUAGGGUCCUGUAAUUGGAAUGAGUACAAUUUACAUCCCUUAACGAGGAACAAUUGGAGGGCAAGUCUGGUGCCAGCAGCC